GGGCCACUUGCAAAACCCUGGUGGGUGGAGCCAGGCCAUGCUCACCCCACCCACCGGAAGUCAGUGGGAGGAACAGGAAGUACAGAACGCGGGUCUGCAAGCUCAUUUGGGCUGCAGCUGCUGAAGGAGCCAGAUGCCUCCUAUCCACUCCUGAACUGGGAGACUGCUAUGGAUCCCUGCGGUGCUGAGGACUGGCUGACGCUGCUGGAGCCACACACUGACCAAGCUGAGGAGGAGCUGCUGGGACUGCCGCUGGCCUUCUAGCUGGAUGAUGCGGAGGACCCUGUACAGACCCAGGUCCAAGCCACUGACCCUUCACUGCCCUGAUUGCUGGCUAGAGACUCUGAUUGCCGAUCGCUCUACCCAGACUGCUGACCAGAGCUAUAGGCCGAGAGUGACUCAGCUGAUUCCCCGCGAGCAACGCCCCGUUAUAUAGUAAGGCAGAGUGGCCUCCCUCUGACCCAGAGGGGGAGGGGCCACCACUAACUCAUUACACUCCUACAUAGCACUUUUCAUCCAUAGAUCUCAAAAGUACUCUACAAAGAAGGGUCAGUGUCAUUAUCCCCAUUUUACAGAUGGGAAAACUGAGUCAUGGCAUGGGGAAAUCACUUGUUCAAGGUCUCCUAGCAGGCCAGUUGGCAGAACCAGGAAUUGAACCCAGGUCUCCUGAGUCCCUGUCCAGUGGCUAUGAGAUCCUAAAUUUAGGACCUACACCUAGCACUGCUGUAACCUGUUCAAUAUCCAAACAUGAAAGUGGACAAUGGUCCCCAAAUGAACACAAGAAGCUAGCCACAGGGAGAUAUCAUCUACCCAGUGUAUUCUCUCAUUAAGGAUAUGUUUUGCAGCAGUUAGUCAAAAACAUUUCUAAAACAUUAUUUUGCUAAAUAAUCUAGACAAACUUCAGGACCCAGGAGGGUCUAUUUUAAAAUAAUGAUGAAUCCUCCCCUCAAAAACUGACAAGUUAUAUUCACGUAAUAUUAUACAGAUACAGCCAAGUAGCAGCUUAGGCCAAAAUGUAGGUCUUGUAAUAAUGUAUAUUACAAAAUCUAAUCUUAGCAUAUCACAUAAAAUUACUACAAACAGAUAUUUGUAUGUAAGUGUUCACCUGCAACAUUCGUACCGCAAACACUACAGCAAUAUGGGUAGUCAAAGAGUGAAACUGAAUAUAAACAAACAAGUCUAGUUUUGCUUCUUGGGCUCCAAUCCUGCUAUUGGAUUUGCAUGGACAAACUCCUAUACAGAUCCAACUGUAGACUGAGGCCCAAUUCUGUAAAAACUUUGGGGCAGGAACCUGUCAGGAUCCUGACAUGGGCAGUUAGGAUCAAAGGUCAGAGCAGGGUCAAUCCUGAGGCUGAGAAUAGAGAAGAGUUUGUAGUCAAGUUCCAGGUCGGGGUGGAAUCCAAGGAUCAGAGUCAGAGUCAGGUUUCAGGGUCUGGCUCAACAGAUGAGGUCAAAAUCAAGCCGAGAUCAAAGCCAGGAGUUCAAGAGCAGAGUUGGUCCUGGUCACAGGUGCUGGCUUCCUCCUUUCCCCAGGGCUGGGGCACCCAGAGUCGCUACCUAUGAUCCUGGUAGCUACAACACAUCCACACUGUUGCCUGGAAACUUCCUGGAAUACACGUUGGGUUUAUAUAGGGCAGGAGCCAUGAAGCUACCGCCAGUCAGCCCCCUUGAGGCAGGACUUCCCGUGGUCUGUCUGUAGUGGGUUGUGGGUAGUGUUGCGUGAGCUGUCUACUGCAGCUGCUGGGUGGCACCAUGGAGGUUUACUGCCUGCCAGCUCUGCAGGCCGAGGUUCAAGAGCUGUGGGGACUUACAGAACUGCAUCUACCUUGAUAGCCCUAAUCCUCCAGAAAGUUCCAUGUGGGCAGACCCUUAUGCCUACAUGGAGUCCCAGCAAAGUCAAUGGGGCUCCAUUAAGGUUCACUGACUUGCAGGAUCUAGGUUUCAGUUUGUAGAGCACAUUAGGCCCCUGGUCCCAAUCAGGGCCUCUGGGUGCUACCUUCAUAUUAAAUAAGACAACGUGUCUAAGCGCAGUGAAAGGUAAAUCAGAUUUUCAAAUGUGUCCAGUUUUAGUAGAGUUAGCUCUUCCCGGUAACACAGGGAAGGAUGUAGGCUUUUCAGUCUGUUGGGCUGGAUUUUUGGCUCCUCAUUUGCAGGGGAACUAUCUGCCAGCGAAAACAGCCGAGGCAGCGCCACCACCCCCCUCCUCUGGUGAAUGGGGAAGGAGAAGUCAUGUCAGGAGUGUCUAUGGGUAGGAUGGGGCUUAAGCUCCACUCAGCUGCAGUCAAGAAUCUGGCUCAUUCACUUUUUUCUUAAACGUCCUUUUCAAUGUUACUUCUAACUGCAAAUUACAAAUGCUUCAGAGGUUUCUGCCUCUGACUUCUCCAGCCACACAGAGCUCUCAUCGGGCAAUACCAGCCCAAGUCAUUGACACCCUCUUGGGUAGCAAUCAAAUCGUUCAUGCACCAGUAAAGACUUAAUCCAGUCUGUGGCCAACAAUUUGUAUUCACAGUAUUUUCUUUAUAGCUAGACAGGCAUUUCCUGAAAAUAGAAACUCUACAUUAUCUAUGCUUAAGAUCAUAUAUAAACUUCUCCAAGAAUAUCCUGGAAAUAUAACAAAACCGAUGCCAGCCUGACCCUACUCAUUAGCAUGUACCGAUAGCAUAUGUUCAUAAAGAACUUGUAGACUGUAUGUGUACAAUCAAAUUAACCUUUGGACUGCUGGCAUUUGGAACAUAAUUUGGGUUUCCAAAUGUAUAUACUGUGCUCUGCUCAGUGCUGUUACUACUACAGAAAUAAUAUCCUCUAAAAUAAAGUAGGCUGAUAAGAGUUGAAUGUUUCAACUUCUAAAUCUAGUUCAACAUUCUUCGAUACUCAACACAAAUGUGAUUAAAUUCUUUUGUGUAGCUAUAAUUAUUUGUGUUUCCAUUGAAAUAACUGUUCAUAUUUGCAAUCUUUACUAAGAAAUGCCUCAGAAUAACUUGGGCGGGAAGGCGAGAGCGGAGGAGGGAACAACUUGGUACCUUCCCAGUCAUUGAUUUAAUGUAGAUUAAUGCAGUAGACUGAGUCAUAGCAUCCCUGCCCACAUCUCUGCAGCUGGUUUCACACCCCUGCUAAUUAUUACUUGAAUGGGAUGUGCAGCUCAAAAGUUAAAAGUUCAGUCUCAGAAGCCUCCCUAUAAUUUUUAUUGUCCUGCCAACCAAAUAGGAGUGUCACCCCCUGUUUGGUGAGUUAAGAUGAAGUAUUAAAGUCACACAAGACAAGCAUGGGCCAUUGUCCAUCUGAACCCAAUCUUCGAUGCCAGGAACUAGCAUGCAAUCUCCCUUCUAUACAUGGUCACCUCUAACAUGUCUAAUACUAGGCUGACACCAAUUAUUUCGAACCAGACCUCUCAUUUUUGAGCAGGACUGGUUUCUAGGUGCUGUGCCCACAUGUUAAAAUGUUAAGUCAACACAAAGGCUAUAUAUUAGUCUCAUUUUUCCAGAAGUAAUUAUUUUAAUGACACUAUAAAGACUUUCAAUAGAUAUGCCUGAAACAAAACAUUUUCUAAAAAAUGUUCAAGUGGCCUUGGGUGACGGUACGAAACAAUCAUUCAUAACACCUGCAAAGUUAGGGCCAUGUUUGGAGUAGGGAGGUGUAAAUUCUACCUCUCUGCACCAGCAAAGGCCCCUGCUAUUUUACAACAAAAAAACAAAUCCAGACUCCAGCGAGAAACUGCUGAAUUGGAAUUCAUUUGCAAAUUGGAUACAAUUAACUUAGGCUUGAAUAGAGACUGGGAGUGGCUUAGUCAUUAUGCAAGGUAGCCUAUUUCCCCUUGUUUUUUCCUACCCCCCCCCCCCCGACGUUCUUGUUAAACCCAGGAUUUGUGCUGGAAAUGGCCCACCUUGAUUAUCAUACACAAUGUAAGGAGAGUGGUCACUUUGGAUAAGCUAUUACCAGCAGGAGAGUGAGUUUGUGUGGGGGUGUGUGUGUGUGUGUGAGAAAACCUGGAUUUGUGCUGGAAAUGGCCCACCUUGAUUAUCAUACACAUUGUAAGGAGAGUGGUCACUUUAGAUAAGCUAUUACCAGCAGGAGAGUGGGGUGGGAGGAGGUAUUUUUUCAUGCUUUGUGUGUGUAUAUAAUAAGAUCUUCUACACUUUCCACAGUAUGCAUCCAAUGAAGUGAGCUGUAGCUCACGAAAGCUUAUGCUCAAAUAAAUUAGUUAGUCUCUAAGGUGCCACAAGUCCUCCUUUUCUUUUUGCGAAUACAGACUAACACAGCUGUUACUCUGAAACCUGCACCACAGAGAAAUUCAACCUAAGCUGCUGCCUCCCUCAAGGAUUCUGUCAGUUUCAUUUUAGUUCUGUUUAGUUUUCAGCUGAGACUGAAGUUUACUCAGGAGCAGGUAAAAGUGCACUAGACAUACUGAGUCAAAUCCUGGGGUGAUGUAACUUACACACCAGUAAAUUGAUAUAACUUAAAUGCAGAAGGGGAUGGAAGUGUGGGCUUCUAGCUUGAAAACCACCCAUCAUGGCAGAGUAAGAUUAAACAGAAGGAGGCUAUUUCAUCUUACAGCUUCUGAUCUCCUAAUGCUAGCUUUCCGUGCUCCAACCCCAGUUCAACUUCACCCUUUUGUUCCAGUGGUGUUGUGCCCACUUACAGACACACUUAUUAGUGUGUAACUUACACUAGUCUUUACAUAACCUCAGGAUUUCGACCAAUGUGUUUCGUGUGCUUUUACUGCUUCCUAUAUUAGGACAUUACAUUUUUAAAAUGUCUGCCACACGUACAAUAUUGCCACAAUGAGGAGAUCAUAGAAUCAUAGAAUAUCAGGGUUGGAAGGGACCUCAGGAGGUCAUCUAGUCCAACCCCCUGCUCAAAGCAGGACCAAUCCCCAAUUAAAUCAUCCCAGCCGUGCUUUGUCAAGCCUGACCUUAAAAACUUCUAAGGAAGGAGAUUCUACCACCUCCCUAGGUAACGAGAUAUUCCAAUAUUUCUCUGAAAAAAUUUAUGGUUUGCCAUAGUGUCCAGCUUGCCAGGUGUCCAGGCUUGCCAGGUGUCCAGCUUUCAACCAGAACGGCUCCAGUCAGCACUGCAGAUCGAGCCGUUAAAAGUCCGGUUGGUGUGGGACUGGCAGGCUCCCUACCUGGCUCCAUGCAGCUCCCCGGAAGUGGUGACAUGUCUCUCAGCUCCUUGACGGAGGGACGGCCAAGGGGGCUCCAUGUGCUGCCCCUGCCCCAAGCGCCGGCUCAGCAGCUCCCAUUGGCCGGGAACUGUGGCGUAGGAGCUGAGCAACUUGUUGUCGCUUGCGGGGAGCCAUCCGAGGUGAGAACUGUCCAGAGCCAAUCCCCUCUCCCUCACCCCAACCCACCACCCCGUCCUGCCCCCCGGCCCAGCCUGAGCCCCCUUCCACACCCAAACUCCCUCUGAGAGCCCACACCCUGAAUCCCCUCCUGCACUCCAACCCCCGCCCCAGCUCAGAACCCCCUCCCACACUCUGAACCCCUCAGCCCCAGCCUGGAGCUCCCUCCUGCACCCCAAACCCCUCAUUCCCAACCCCACAGCCUGCACCCCCACCCCCCCACACACACUCCAACCCCCUUCCCCAGCCCAGAUCCCCAUCCUGCACCCUAAAGCCCUCAUUUCUGGCCCCAGCCCAGAGCCCAUGCCCCCUCCCACUCUGAAACCCUUGGUCCCAGCCUGGCGACCCCUCCCAGACCCCAACCCCACCACAGAUGCCCUCACCCCCUCCCGACUCCAAUCCCCUGCCCCAGCCCAGUGAAAAUGAGCAAGUGACAGAGAGAGGGGGAUGGAGUGAGAGAGAGGGGCAGGGGGCCUUGGGAAAGAGGCGGGGCAAGUGAGUUUGGUUUUAUCUCUUGACCAAUAAAUCUUAAUUGCCACCUCUACAAAAGUGAAAGGCCUGCUUACUCUUUAUGAAUAAAUUAAAAUUACUGCGAAACAAUGGUGGGAGUUUGCAGUAUUUCCCAUUCAUUCAAACACUGAGCAGCACUUCCUUUAACAAACUGUAUCAGCUGACAGAAAAACAAACGUUUCUGGACUCUUCAGUAUUUUUAUUUUUAGGGGAAGCAGUGUGGCUUAGUGAAUUUGGACUCCCCAGAACUAGGUUCUAUUCCUACCUCUGCUAUGGCCUGCUGGGUGACUUUGGGCAAAUCACUUCAUCGCCCCUGCCUCAGUUUUCUCAUCUGUAAAAUGGGGAUAAUGAUACCUCCUUUAUAAAGUGCUUUGAGAUCUACUGAUGGAAACUGCUAUAUAAGAUCUAGAUAUUUUUCAAAAUAUAUUGAUGAUUUUUACAAUUACUGCACAAGCAGAAUUUGCAUAUUUUUUGCAAAAUAAACUGCAGUUUUCCUUUUAGAAAUUUUAAGGUCAGGCUAAGCAUGUGGUGCUAAAUAUUCAACUUGUUUCAGUAAUUAUUUUAAAAAUAGUGCCACAAACGUUUUGUUUCAACAUACCCAAGUACAGUAUAGCAUUUAAGUUUAACAUAUUUAAAACAGAUGGUAAAUAAUACUUUGUACUUCUCUUUCAAAUAAGAUUUUAGUCCUUUGCACGGAGUAAAAUGUGUUUGGAGUAAAAAGUAGGGGAUUUUUCUUUUUCAAAACAAUGCAUCACUGCUUGAAUGUAGUGAUAAGAAUGUGAUUUUAACCUAGGCAUUUGGUGCUGUUUCAGAAACACACGGUGCGCGCACACACACAAGUUCUCAGUGCAAACUUGUGAGGCCUUGGGGGUAAAUCCACAACGAUUUGUUUUGAGGAAGACAGCUGUUUGCUAAAGCUUAAAAGAAUGCAAACUUGGACUCAAAUAUCAUAGCUAAAUUCAUGCUCACGUACUGUAUGGCACAACUCGGAACACGUGCACAAUUGAUGUUUCUCAUUUUGAUGAAAAUGAACAUAAAACAUUUUUGUAGAAUAAUAUCUUGCUCCUUCAGUAAAAAACUCUUUCAAUAGACGUCUUAUUACUUCAAAACUAUAAUCUCUCUCCUUUUACAUAAAUCAGCACAAUCUUGUUUUGCUAAAAUAAAAUAAACAUUGCCAGGAGAUGAAAUGGAUAGCCUGUUCUUUUGCAAGGCCUCCAGUCUUGGCACUGUGAACAAUUAGAUAGGAACCAAGUGACACCUUUUGGAUAAUGGUGCCAAGUCAGCAGAUGGAACACAUUACAGAACUGGGACAAUUCUGUUUAAACAAUUGAAUGCCAGGAUCCCAGGAUACCAAAUAAAGAGAGGUUAAAGGACAAUGCAUUAGAAAACAUGAAUGCUAAUGCCACUAGAGAUGCUGUUGAGUUUUUCAUUUCAAAGCAAUUUUGGUGGCUGCUGGAAACCCUCCUCACACUUAACGCUUUUGAUACAUGUUGUCCGCUGAUCAUUCCAAAGGAUGUCGGGAGUCUGAGUGGAUUGCAGAAAAAGAUAAUGAUGGACUAACGUGCUUCACAAAGAAAGUGAAGCAGAAAAGAUGAUAUUUAAUCACUGGGCCCAAUGCAGUGAGCAUUCCCAACUCCUAUGGAUUUCAAUGGCAAAUGAGGAUGCUCAGAGGCAAGAUCAGAUCCCACAGGAGGGAUUAAAUUUAUUUCUUUUUGUUGAGCAGUCUCAGGCAUUAAAAGAUGGCUUCUCUCUGCUUUAAUGUCCCAAUCAGUCCAAUAGGGAUAGUUUAAGCUUUCCAAAUAUCCUAUUUCUGAUUUAAUUUAAUCUCUCAUCUUCUCCUUCCAGUAACUGAUCUGAAUGGGAGUAGUACCUAACAUCAGCCAAGCUACAAUGUUCCAUAAUUUAGGCAGGAAAGGGUGGAACCAUGUAUUUUCCCCCAAGAAUAAUGUAGUCAGAGCCACUUUCCUACCAAAGCUAGUUAAAAUCUCUUGACUAGUCCUGGACAACAUUUUCUGGCUGAAACUGUUUUCUGUGAGAAAUAUAGAUAUGGUGACACUGAAAUGUCUUGCGAGCUCAUGCUGGUUUCACCAAAUACCACUGAUAAAAAGAAAAACUUAAAACAAUUUCAGAAAAAAAUAGUGUCUCACUUCUACAUUUUGUAAACAAAAUAUUGGGUUUUUUUGGUUCAAAAUAAUUUGGUUCAAAAUUGGCUUUAAUUUUAUUAAAACAGUAAAAAAAUGUUCAAAAUCAAAACAGGACGUUUUGAUUUUGUGAAAGAGAAAUGUUUGACCCCAAAUGAUAUUUUUUGGCUUUUCAAUUCCCUGAAAAUGUAAAAUAAAAAUACGAAACAAAUAUUUUUGGUUUGACCUGAAAUGAAUUUUUCAGAAUUGCCAGAAAACCAAAAAGUCAUUGGUCCACUAGUCCAGGGGAGUGUGAGUCUGAAGGUCCCCAGAGUGAAGCCAUGAUGCUGCUGCUGCUGAGUCCUAACCUGGCAGUUUUCAAUAACAAUCAUUUAGAUUCUAACUACUGUAAUGAUUACUAAUACAACUUCUUACAGCAGUUGAAAUUAGUCAUUUAAAAAAAGGUUUUGUUCGAAACAUUAUAAAGAGCUUAACAAUGGGAAGUUUUUAGAUGACAAGGUAAUGUUUGAAAUGUUCUCAAAGCAAUUCAAAACUACUCUGAAGCUGGUUUGGAACAUAAACUCCUCCAUCAGGCAAUGGGAAUGAAAGCUGAGUCCCUGAAAACACUCCAGUUGGUUCAGAAUGCAGCAGUCUGCCUGAUCUGGGUUCUGCUCUUCAUCUGCACAGCCUUCCAUGUCUUGGGCCUGGGCUAUCUCCAGGACUUGCUUCUCCCUAUGAGCUCAGGCAUUACCAUGAAAAUGGUGGAACUGCACUCACCAGGAGCUAAGGAACUGGCUGUUCUUAGGGUGAAGCUCACAUUGUAGGCUACAGGGCAUUCUCAGCAGCUCCACAAUGGCUGUAGGACUCUAAGGGUGAUAAUCACCAGAGAUCUUCCCCCAGCCAGGAUGAAAUGCAAAACCCAUCUUUUCAACCUAGAUAUCUCCCCAAAUCAAAACUAAGACACCAUAAGGAAUAUAAACCUUACUCGCUGAAAUCUUAAUACUUGAGACAUGUUUUGUUGCUUGUUUACUUUAUAUAAUUUCUAUCAGGCAAUCAGAUAUAACAGUACAAACGCUCACAGAGAUAGACAGACAUUGCUGGCUAGUUUGUACAUGUGCAUAAUAAAAAAAACAAGCAGAGCAAUGGAAACCUUCUGUUUUCAGGGCUCGCCAGAAAUAAACCAAUCCUAAUGGCAAUAUUUCCAAAUCCCCAUGAAUCCCACAGAUUUUUAGUUUACUGGACAUUUCUGGUGCUGCUGUAAUGAACCUAAGUUUUGAAGUUUGACAUUUCAACAACAACAACAAACACUUAUCCUCAUUCUUAUUAACCAAAUAUCUAGAUGAGUUGAUGUACCCCCUGGAAGACCUCUGCGUACUCCUGGUUGAGAACCACAUACCUAGGUAUUUGCCUAGUUUUACAACAGGCUACAUAAAACAUACUAGUGAAGUCAAUACAAACUAAAAUUUCAUACAAUGACUUGUUUAUACUGCUCUGUAUACUAUAUACUGAAAUGUAAGUACAAUAUUUAUAUUCCAGUUGAUUUAUUUUAUAAUUAUAUGGUAACAAUAAGAAAGUAAGCAAUUUUUCAAUAAUAGUGUGUUGUGAUACUGUUGCAUUUUUAUUUCUGAUUUUGUAAGCAAAUAGUUUUUUUUAAGUGAGGUGAAAUUUGGGGGGUAUACAAGACAAAUCAGACUCCUGAAAGGGGUACAGUAGUCUGGAAAAGUUGAGAGCCACUGUUCUAAGCAACACAAGUGACUAAAAAUGAGAAGCUGUAAGUCCAGCGGAUACUGUGUAGCAAUAUGGAACAUAUUCAAAUCUACAGUGUCCCGGAAAGCCUCAUCAACAUAUCUCUCUGCUUCCCUUAGCUCCUCCAGUUCUGCCACCCUGGCCUCCAAAGCCCGUACACGGUCUCUGAGGGCCAGGAGCUCCUUGCACCGAAUGCACACAUACACCACCCACUCACAGGGCAGGUAAUCAUACAUGCUACACCGAGUGCAAUAAACAGGAUAGCCCCCACUCUGUUGCUAGGCUUUUGCCUGCAUUUUCUCCUGCAGCUACCUAGAUUAAUGAUAGGGUUUUUGUUUAAAUCAAGAAGUUUUGAUUAUAAUUUAAAGGUUUUAAAGAAUGACAAGUGUACCUCGCCCCCCUCCCACUCCCUUUCCAAACUCCCUCUCAAAACUCCCUUUUAGCGGUCCCUGUUCGCAAAGCUUAUGUUCUUAUAUUAAAGGGCCUAAAAUAAUGAUUGAAAUUAUUAAUUGGAGAAAGAGUGUAACAGGCUGGCAGUGUUAUCUGAAACACCUAGUCCUAAUCGCUGGUGUUGAUCCUGUUGGGGAAUAUUAAAUAUGUUCCACUGAGUCAGUGUUGCAGGUGCCUCAGUACCCUACCCAUAUAUAAGGGAGGCAGGAGAAGCUCUCAUGAGAGAGAGAGGAUAUAAUGUGUGGACUGAGAAAUCCUGAAGGAGGAAUUCUAAGAACAUCCAGGCCUGAGAAGAAGAUCUGAGCUAACCUUUAUGUUAGCUUGCAAUUAAUGUAGGUACCAGUAAAACCAAAUCCAGGAAAGGGGAGAGUUUGGACUCUACAUAUUAUGUGGACUGUGUUUGAGAGCAGUUUGGAAAUGGCACCAGUUCACAUAUGGUGGAAUUUUUUUAAAACCAUUCUGCAAAGGAGGUAUCAGAAGGGCAAGUGGCAGAGAUCUGAGGUGGAUGAUGGAACAGCAGGCCCAACAUCAGCAGCAGAUCUUGAAGGAAGGAACCACAGCUCAACAGGAACAGCGGGCACAGCUACCGGAGCAGAUGUUCCGAGCUUCUUAGUCCAGGGAUACCACCUAGAUUAGUAGUAAGAGUGUCUAAGGGUAUGCUUACACCACACAUGACAGUCACACCUUCGUUUGUGGUGUAGAUGUACCCUAAGCAGGGACGAGACGAUGACCCUGAGUCUUUCCCUGUCACCUUUCAGUGGGCAGCCAAGGCCACUUAGAGAGAGGAAGAGCCUUGGGCCAUUUACUUAGCUACUUUUCAUUAACAGGAGAGGCCCAAGCAGCACAUUGGGCUGUGGGCAAGGACACUGCCACCAAGGCCAUCAAAUCUACCAUUUUGGACUGGUUGGGAAUCUCAAGAGAAAAGUACUGGCAACAGUUAUAGAGGUUCCAUUCCCCCUUAGGCCUAUGAUUGGACAUUUCUGCCCAGAGGCUGAUUGAAUGGAUGACUCUCUGGCUCAAGUCUUAAUCUCAGACAGUGAGAGAAUGGAGCUAUUUAGUUAUCCUAGACCCGUUUCUAGACAGUCUGACUAGGAGGGCAGACUGGUACAUCAGUACCAGCUGUCUAUGCCAGCAGAAGUUGCGUGACACACAGAGGCUACAUGCACAAUGAGAUGCCAAAGGGACUGCAAUGUCUGGGCAGUAGCUACGGCCAUGAAGGACUGAGAAACAAGCAGAGAGAAAACAAAGGGAUUCAGGGACUCCAACAGGAGCCAGAAAGGACAUUCACCCAAUCUUUGAGCUGCAGUCAGAAUCUCCUAUGGCUGAGUUUAAAAAGUCAAACCCCAGGGAGGACAAGUUUGGCUCUCCCUAGUGUGUGGACUGUGUUUGAGAGCAGACUAGGAUGGCACCUGGUCACACAGCUAUCAGGGAGCAAGUGGAAAACCUGGAUGGAAGAAAGGCAAUAAAAUGAUAUCCACAGCUCUUCUUUCUGUCAUUUAUAUCACCUGGUCUUCUGCAGCUAUGAAAUGUGAUGAUUACUCGGAUGCUUAGUUAAGAGCACCCUAGGGACCAAUCCUGCUUCCAAAAAAGUAGGGAAAAAACUCCCAUUGAGUUAAAUAGGAACAGGAGCAGCAGCCUUGUUGAUCAUACACUACAAGUAGUUUAAAUUGUUUGAAGUGGAUGAACAGUAGUUUUCUCUCCAACUUUGGUUUGUUUUCUAUUUUAUCGUUGCAAGGGAAUUUUCAUGAAAGUUAUUGUGUAAAAUAGUCAUUUGCCAAUGGGGAGAAUUUUUCAUUUCCCUCUUAAAAGACAAUAAAAAACAGCCUCUUUACUUUGUGGACUUAUUUAUUUUACCUUUAUUUAUUUAUUUAUUUUUACACUUACAUAAUUCACGCUUCCCUCUGGCUACAUUAUGACACAAAGUAACCAAUUGUUGUCUUUGAUUUAUAGUAUAUUUUAGACUUUGGAAACAGAGGUGUUUACAAUCCUGAAUACUAUACAUUCUAAACAAUGGUUACGCAGCCACUAUUGUUUUAUAUUGGCAUGUUUAUAACAAGUUGGGAGCUAUAUUCCCUGGUGGAGGUGAUGAUCUAACUGUGAAGCAAAAUUAAAUUAGGGCAAGAAGUGCUGGGAAUGUUUGCUUGUGUCUGUGUCAAGAACUGUUGCAAUCAGAUCUCACAUUUCAUGGAUAUGGUCGAUGCCAGAUCAGUUUACACAAGGGAUGUCAAAGACACCUAAUAAAAUAGUAUUUUUAAAUGAAAGUCUUUUAUUUGAUUGCUCUGAAGAGUUUUUGUAGAGUUCUUAUAGGAGAGACUUUCUGGAAAAUAUGAUUCCACACAAUCUCUUAUUUAAAAUAAACCUAUCGCCAAAUCUGAAAAUAUUUUACUUCUUCAUGGAAAAAUAUGCACUAUCUGCCUUUUACUGCACUCAUCACAUCCCACACUGUUCAUAAGGAUCUUCCAGAUAUUAUAUUCAAAGAUUUUUUAAAAAUCUCUGUACUUUAAUACUACCCAAAAGAAAAAUAUUGAGAAUUCUGUCUCUCUAUUCUGUACAUCUGCAGUAAAUUUAGUGGCCAAGAUAGCUGGCUUCUAAGUCCUUAUUUAGGCACCUAAAUAAACAGUAGAAGUUUAUGGGUGCUCAACACUUUUGGAAAUUAGGUUACUCAGUUCUAAUAUUUCUCCUACAUUUUGAAAAAGAGACUUCCCUCUCCCACCCCAACUAUGCAUUAAAAAUCGCUGUCCCUGCUUGAGAACUGUUGUGCUAUGUUUUUUGUCAAAGACAAAGGUAACAGACAAGGUAUAAACCUGGGGAAAGAAAGCAGAUUUACAGUAGGAAUAAGUCAGAGUUAAGGUUCCCUUCAAAGAAAUCCAAAAAUGUUAAGGCACAAAAUGCACAGUUAAGAUACUCCAACAAUCUUUAAUUCUGCAUGAUGUCAUUUGAUAAGUAUGUAGUUAGAGUUAAGGUAUUUUAGUGUUUGUGAUCCCAGAUUAGUUUAAACUCUUUUGUAAAGAUUUGUUUGUCCCCUUCUCCCUUACCUCUCACUGUGUCACUACCAGGAAGAGUUAAGGUUGUCUGAGAGCCUCAGCUGUGCAUCUUACCUGAAUAUGUCUGGAUUUCUUUAAAGCAUAAAUUUAAUUCUGAAUUUCUUGAGUUUAUUAGGCUUGAUUUUGAGAUAAUUACACUAUCCCUGUAAUAUUUUUUCUUCUUAAAUUACUGAUAUGAACACUCAACCUCAAGUCCAUUUUACCAUAGUUUUAGCCUGAGAAUUCCCUUAGUCUUUAAAAUUAUUAAGAAGUUCACACACAAACACUAAACAAGAUAGAUAUGAAUAAUCUUAAAUCAUUUGUUUAAAAUUAACUGUUAAGGGCAGAUUCACUGGUACAUCAAAGCACCAUAAAGUAGCCAGAGUGCACUGGCCACUUCAACUAUUUUUACAGUUGCUUGGUAGCACCAGUACAGGCGAACCCGGCCCUUAAUUUGCAGACAAUUUAUUGGUUUCGAGGGCUAUGUUUGUGAGAUUGGUACUAAAGUGAUGGGGGAGGUAGGGAGGGCCCAGUCCCUAGGUCCCAAUGUCCCUGUGAUUUAAGGGAUCCCCUGUGCUCCUGACUCAGUUCCCCCAACAGUGUUGCCAUGAGCGCCUAGGCAGGGCAACUAAACCCUAUGUAGUCCUCUGUCUUGAAUCCCCCUCCCCCAGCACCAAGUGCACAGGAAGGAGAGAAGGGAAAGGAGAAUGGGGGCGGGGCACGGGGGAGGACAGAAAGGAGAAAUGCAGCGGUAGGUAUUUCUGUUGUGUUUGCACCUUUUCAUGCGCUUUUAUUUGUUUUGUAAAUGUUCUUUUAUAACUGGUGUUUGAGUGUUGUAAUGACAGUUGAUCUGCUUGGCAAUGGGUUACUGCUGUACUGUUUAAACAUGUUUACAAAUAAAGUUUUUUAUGUCAUUGAGA
This is a non-coding RNA of Caretta caretta (loggerhead turtle), 14107 nucleotides long. NCBI's taxonomy places the organism in Eukaryota, Metazoa, Chordata, Testudines, Cheloniidae. The record is from RefSeq and is a predicted model, not a curated record.